AGGUCCACUCCAAGGCCACUGCUGUCUUUGGUAGUGCUGACAGGGUACUGGGAUCUCCCCUGUAACUGGGCUGCACCUUCAUUCAUAGCCUCUCCUGGGAUCUCUUCAGUGCUCUAAGCCAGCUUCAUGGUACCAAACCUCAACUUCUCUCUAUGGGGCGCUCUUCAAUUUGAGGCUUCUACUGCAACUGAAGGUUCACCUUCACAAGGGGCCUUUUUCACAGUGCCAUGCCUCAGCUGCUCUCCAUAACCCCUUGAUGCCUUCAAAACAAUUUCAGCUUCAGCUAAAUGACAACCCAGAAAGCAAAGGUUUUUACUUGUGCUGUUGGUCUUUUUUAAUCACAGCUCCAGCUAACCAGAAUAUAUAUUAUAUAUAUAAUUUUUUUUUUCCAAGACAGGAUUUCUUUGUGUAGCCCUGGCUGUCGUCGAACUAGCUCUGUAAACUAGGCUGACCUCAAACUCACAGAGAUCCACCUGCUUCUGCCUGGCAUUAAAGGUGCACACUACUACCACCUUUAAAAAGACUACAGAUUCUUUUUCUUAAUUUACUUUACUACAGAUUCUUUUAUUUAUUUACAUUCUAAAUUUUGUCCUCCUCUCAGCCCCCUUUGCAGAGGUCUUCCUCUCAUCCCUCUCACCUCUGAGAGCCCUCCUCCUCCCCCCAAAGCCUCCCCCCCCUCUCCAAACCUCCCCCUUCCCUAAGGCAUCAAGUCUCUACAGGAUUAGGCACAUCCUCUCCCACUGAGGCCAGAAAAGGCAGUUCUCUGCUAUAUAUGAGGGGGUCAGGGGAUGGGAUGUGGAGUUGGUUCAGACCAUCCCAGGAGUUCAGGUUAGUUGACACUGUUGGUCUUCCUGUGGGGUUGCCAUUCCUUUCAGUUCCUUCAGUCUUUCCCCUAACUCUUCCAUAGGGGUCCCCGGACCUCAGUCCAAUGCUUGGCUGUGAGUAUCUAUAUCUGUCUCAGUCAGCUGCUGGUAGAGCCUCUCAGAGGACAGCCAUGCUAGGCUUCUGUCUGCAAGCCCAGUAUAGCAUCAGUAAUGGUGUCAGAGUUUGGUCCUUACCCAUGGGAUGGAUCCCAAGUUGGACCUGUCACUGGUCAGCCAUUUGUUCACUCUCUGCUCCAUUUUUGUCCCUGAAUUUCUUUUAGGGACAGUUUUGGGUCAGAAAAUUUGAAGGUGGGUUGGUGACCUCAUCCCUCCACAGGAGACCCUGUCUAACUACUGGAGGUGGUCUCUUGAGGUUCCAUAUCCCCACUGUUGGGCAUUUCAGCUAAGUAUCCAAAAUAUAUAAAGAACUCAAGAAGUUAGACUCAGAAAACCAAAUAACCCAAUUAAAAAAUGGGGUACAGAGCUAAACAGAGAAUUCCAAACAGAGGACUCUUGAAUGAGAAGAAGAAAUGUUCAGCAUUCUUAGACAUCAGAGAAAUGUAAAUCAAAAUCACCCUGAGAUUCCACUUUAUACCAAUCAGAAUGGUUAAGAGCACUGACUGC
This 1487-nucleotide long non-coding RNA is filed under the name Mus pahari (shrew mouse). RNAcentral's name for it is "predicted gene 43331 (MGP_PahariEiJ_G0033020.1)". Lineage: Eukaryota; Metazoa; Chordata; Mammalia; Rodentia; Muridae. The record is from RNAcentral.